This 423-nucleotide ribosomal RNA is filed under the name uncultured bacterium. RNAcentral describes it as "bacterial SSU rRNA". It matches the Rfam family "Bacterial small subunit ribosomal RNA", at positions 103 to 525 of the family's 1533-position model. The record is from RNAcentral.
CGGGUGAGUAACGCGUGGAUAACCUGCCCUGAGGUGGGGAAUAACCCGGGGAAACCCGGGCUAAUACCGCAUGACACCGAGAGGUCAAAGGGGGCGGCAACGCUCCUGCCACAGGAGGGGUCCGCGUCCGAUUAGCUAGUUGGCAGGGUAAUGGCCUACCAAGGCGACGAUCGGUAGCCGGCCUGAGAGGGUGAUCGGCCACACUGGAACUGAGACACGGUCCAGACUCCUACGGGAGGCAGCAGUGGGGAAUUUUGCGCAAUGGGCGGAAGCCUGACGCAGCAACGCCGCGUGGAGGAUGAAGGUCUUUGGAUCGUAAACUCCUGUCAGCAGGGAAAAAGCGACAUGACCUAAUACGUCGUGGAGUUGAUUGUACCUGCAGAGGAAGCCCCGGCUAACUCUGUGCCAGCCGCCGCGGUAAUA